AGAGUUUGAUCAUGGCUCAGAGCGAACGCUGGCGGCAGGCUUAACACAUGCAAGUCGAACGCUCACCUUCGGGUGGGAGUGGCAGACGGGUGAGUAACACGUGGGAACGUACCCUUUGGUUCGGGACAACUCUGGGAAACUGGAGCUAAUACCGGAUACGCCCUUUUGGGGAAAGGUUUACUGCCGAAGGAUCGGCCCGCGUCUGAUUAGCUAGUUGGUGGGGUAACGGCCUACCAAGGCGACGAUCAGUAGCUGGUCUGAGAGGAUGAUCAGCCACACUGGGACUGAGACACGGCCCAGACUCCUACGGGAGGCAGCAGUGGGGAAUAUUGGACAAUGGGCGCAAGCCUGAUCCAGCCAUGCCGCGUGAGUGAUGAAGGCCUUAGGGUUGUAAAGCUCUUUUAUCCGGGACGAUAAUGACGGUACCGGAGGAAUAAGCCCCGGCUAACUUCGUGCCAGCAGCCGCGGUAAUUC
RNAcentral lists this ribosomal RNA (474 nucleotides) under uncultured bacterium. RNAcentral's name for it is "bacterial SSU rRNA". It matches the Rfam family "Bacterial small subunit ribosomal RNA", at positions 8 to 526 of the family's 1533-position model. The record is from RNAcentral.